CAUGCAAGUCGAGCGGUAACAGACAUAAAGAUUCAGCUUGCUGAAUCCGGUGCUGACGAGCGGCGAACGGGUGAGUAACGCGUAGGAAUCUACCCAGUAGCGGGGGAUAGCCCGAGGAAACUCGGAUUAAUACCGCAUACGCCCUGAGGGGGAAAGGGGGCAGUUUACUGCUCUCACUAUUGGAUGAGCCUGCGUAAGAUUAGCUUGUUGGUGGGGUAAUGGCCUACCAAGGCGACGAUCUUUAGCUGGUCUGAGAGGACGAUCAGCCACAUUGGGACUGAGACACGGCCCAGACAUCUACGGAUGGCAGCAGUUAAGAAUAUUGGACAAUGGGGGCAACCCUGAUCCAGGUAUACCGCGUGUGUGAAGAAGGCCCUAGGGUUGUAAAGCACUUUAAUCAGAGAAGAAGCAGUUUAAGUUAAUACCUUAAUCUGUUGACGUUACCUGAAGAAUAAGGACCGGCUAACUCCGUGCCAGCAGCCGCGGUAAUACGGAGGGUCCAAGCGUUAAUCGGAAUUACUGGGCGUAAAGCGCGCGUAGGCGGUUUAGCAAGUUGCAUGUGAAAGCCCUGGGCUCAACCUAGGAACUGCAUUCAAAACUACUAAGCUAGAGUACGAGAGAGGAGAGUAGAAUUUCUGGUGUAGCGGUGAAAUGCGUAGAUAUCAGAAGGAAUACCAAUGGCGAAGGCAGCUCUCUGGCUCGUCACUGACGCUGAGGUGCGAAAGCGUGGGUAGCAAACAGGAUUAGAUACCCUGGUAGUCCACGCCGUAAACGAUGAGAACUAGCCGUUGGGCAGAUUUAACUGUUCAGUGGCACAGCUAACGCAUUAAGUUCUCCGCCUGGGGAGUAC
RNAcentral lists this ribosomal RNA (850 nucleotides) under uncultured Gammaproteobacteria bacterium. RNAcentral describes it as "bacterial SSU rRNA". It matches the Rfam family "Bacterial small subunit ribosomal RNA", at positions 54 to 883 of the family's 1533-position model. Lineage: Bacteria; Pseudomonadati; Pseudomonadota; Gammaproteobacteria. The record is from RNAcentral.